RNAcentral lists this ribosomal RNA (253 nucleotides) under uncultured bacterium. RNAcentral's name for it is "partial 16S ribosomal RNA". It matches the Rfam family "Bacterial small subunit ribosomal RNA", at positions 524 to 776 of the family's 1533-position model. The record is from RNAcentral.
UACGUAGGGGGCGAGCGUUGUCCGGAAUUACUGGGCGUAAAGAGAGCGUAGGCGGCACUACAAGUCUCAUGUGAAAUACCCGGGCUUAACUUGGGGGUUGCAUGGGAAACUGUAGAGCUUGAGUACAGGAGAGGCAAGCGGAAUUCCUAGUGUAGCGGUGAAAUGCAUAGAUAUUAGGAGGAACACCAGUGGCGAAGGCGGCUUGCUGGACUGAAACUGACGCUGAGGCUCGAAAGCGUGGGGAGCGAACAGG